This is a long non-coding RNA of Lethenteron reissneri (Far Eastern brook lamprey), 5606 nucleotides long. RefSeq lists it as uncharacterized. The record is from RefSeq and is a predicted model, not a curated record. Lineage: Eukaryota; Metazoa; Chordata; Hyperoartia; Petromyzontiformes; Petromyzontidae.
UGUGGCCAUGCAGAGUGGUGGCAUCGGCGGUACCGUGGGUAGGAAACGGCGGUUGCAGCGGGCGCCUCGGGCACCCUUACAGAGAAAGCAGCAGCUGAGAAUGCGAUUCCUUAUUGCUACAGGCAGCCCGGGAUCCCCGCCUCGACACCACGACUCUCCCGAUCGACUGCGGUGCUUUUUUUUUAUUUAACUCCGUUGAGCAUCCAGUCGCACGCGCCGCCGGCUCCGAAUACUCCACGCCGGGGACUUGGCGGUGGCGGUGGCAGUGCGCGCAGCAGUUUCAGCGCCGCGACUUGAACAUCGAAUAACAACAACAUCGAACAACAAUGAACAUGGAACCACAUGAAUAUCAAACAACACAAACAUCAAACAACUUGAACAUUGAACCACAUGAACAUCAAACAACAUGAACAUCGAACAACAAUGAACAUCGAACCACAUGAACAUCAAACAACACGAACAUCUAACAACACGAACAUCAAACAACAUGAACAUUGAACCACAUGAACAUCGAAACACAUAAACAUCAACAACAUGAACAUGGAAUCACAUGAACAUCAAACAACACGAACAUCAAACAACAUUAACAUGGAACCACAUGAACAUCAACAACAUGAACAUCAACAACAUGAACACGGAAUCACAUGAACAUCAAACAACACGAACAUCAAACAACAUGAACAUUGAACCACAUGAACAUCAAACAACACGAACAUCGAACAACAUGAACAUGGAAUCACAUGAACAUCAAACAACACGAACAUCAAACAACAUUAACAUUGAACCACAUGAACAUCAACAACAUGAACAUUGAACCACAUGAACAUCAAACAACAUGAACAUCAAACAACAUGAACAUUGAACCACAUGAACAUCAAACAACAUGAACAUGGAACCACAUGAACAUCAAACAACAUGAACAUCAACAACAUGAACAUGGAACCACAUGAACAUCAAACAACACGAACAUUAACAACAUGAACAUGAAAUCACAUGAACAUGGAACCACAUGAACGCGUUACACGUGAACGUGUGGAGGCGGCCCUGCAGAUGUUGCCUCGCGCCACCGCUUGCCGGAGGGAGACCUUCACUCGAGAAGAGCCCCCACCCCCCCUCCUUUAUCGGGGGGUAUUUGGCCUACUCUUCCACGCCGGUCAGACGGCUUGGAGGAGAGUCGGAAUGAGAAUCAGAAUAUUUAUUUGGAGGAAUCCGAUCAGCUAUGAAUCUGCUUUUGUCACAGAUGUCCAGCAGUUUUCACAAAAAACGUCCAGUAGUUGGAGUACCCACACUUUACCCCACCGCACGCAACCGAUCGAUCGACUGAUCGUGGUGGAGUUGUUUAUCCUCUUGGGUGGACAGUGAGAGGUUGCGGUGUGUGUGUGUGUGUGUGGGGGGGGGGGUUGGAUAAACUUGAAAGAAUGCUUCAACUACCACGACGGGAGAUCGAUCCGGCGACCUCUGGAUUGCAGGUGCAGCGUGCUCGACAUUGUAAUGCGAGUGGGAGCGCGCACAAGAGGGGAUUUCUGCCAUUGUGAUCAUAAUCUCGAUGCUUCCAGCAUGCCUUGCGUGUCACAAGAUAUCACCGUACCGCGUGUAUAAUGCACACCACCAGUCUUUAAAAAAAUAUACCCGUUAGCACUCCUCUGAAUGAGGAUUUUUUUCAUCAUUUACAUAAGGUUUUAGAAUUGGUUCAACGUAAUGCUAAAUAUCACCGUAGGAUGUUUCUGGCAUAUUCCACUGAGACAAAAACACAACGGUACUACAAUUGCCCAAAUGUAUCUGCUAUGAAGAAGGGCUAAUGCCCGAAACGUCGCCUGUUGUUGUGUUUUCCUUUCAGGGCAGUAUUUGAGAUGUUUUUUUUUUUUUAAACGUGAUUCUUUUUUGUUUACAAUUCUCUCUCGUUGCCGUUCACGAACGUGUCCGACAGUGAAAUGAAAGAUGGCAUUUAAAUCAUGGCCUGAAAUGUAAUCGUGGCACCACAUUUCAAUGAGGGCAUUGACCACCACUGGUAAUAACAAUAAUAUAUAUUUAAAAAAUAAACUUCGGACCUCCCGCGCACAUGCACCAAACGUGGAGUGGAAAUCGCCCUUUAGCGCACCUCCCUGCGAUACAGUAGCUAACCCUGCGGUGUUUGCUAAUCACUAUCAAACCGCACACGUGCCGUACGCACUGCGUCACGUCAAACCGUAUAUACGUCUCACGGUGGCGUCACCGGUAAACAACAACAGAAGCCGGUCAUGCCUUCUGUUGGACGUGUAAUCACACGUGUGUGGGUGUGUGGGUGGGUUUUUUGUGCUUUUUAUAAAGGGUAGACGUAUACGUUUUAGUCGAAGCUACCGAUGUUAUUUUAUACGAGAAUAUAUUUGUUAUUUGCAGUCCCUUGUCACACAUCCACUGCUGGAUGAAGGCCUCCCCAUACCGUGUCGGUCUUUUGGGGCGAGGGGCGGGUGGUGCUUGUUUGACCAUACUUCACCGCGUAGGUCAGUGCAAGUUGAUAUUAGAGAGGCGGGGGGGGGGCAACCCAAGACGGCAUUAAGAUAUCACUCGUCGUGGAUUUAAGUCGUGGCCUGCAAUCUCACUUCGACUGCACGGUUCUGUCCAAGCUGCAUCGAGGAAGCAUGCUAACCACUGCGCCACCCGCUCCACCUCCUCAAUAUCCUAUUUCAUACAUUAUUUUCAGUGACUGCAAUCGAUUUACGAACGCCGCGCGUGUGUGUGUCUGAUACAGUGAAAUAAUAGCCCGUGUGUCUAUACAUAUAUGAAGACCUCACCAUUUCUAUCAGAUCCGUUCCACGCGUCCGCACAAUUGCUAUGUUGUCUCUGAACGUGCUUGUGUUGUGCGAUCCGUGUGAUCUCCCUUCUGUCACUUGGUGCAAUCCCAAGCAUGCACCUUCGCCAUGCUUCUGCGCGCAAGUUUUGAGCUUUCAUUCCACCCUCCCUCCUCGUCAGAGUCCACUUUUCCGAUCCAGAUAAACGAGAGGAGCACAGCGUUUGCAUCCGUGCACUGCCCCUUACGGCAUGAAGAUCGCAUCCCUGUCAACCCAUACGGUUUGCCCGUAUUCUCUUGUCCAAGGAAAUUAAGUUUUUCGGUCCAUACAGUCGUUUCAAUACGGGCAAAAUGUAUGUGUCUAUUUGUUUGUGUUUCUCCCUUGUGACGGGACUUUGUGGGACGAACGUUGCGAGUUAUAAGGGGCACGGGGUGACCAAUACGCUCUGAAUUGGUCUGUAAUAAGGAACGCACUGAUUAGGGGUUGAGAGGCAUGAAGAUCGGUUCUCUUUUCAAUGUUCAAAUCACACUUGAACACGUCUUUGUUUACUGCUGCAGCGUUUGGAGCCGACUGCACGAAUGAGGCUGCAUGAAGUUGAAACUGUUGUCACUGUUACUGGCAUCAUCGCGCCCUGUACCUUCGCUGAUGUUGUAAGCGUGACUGUCAGCGGUCACGCUCACCCGGUCGCUGUUGUGUUCACCUCCAUACCCGUGGCCGUGUGGCGUGUUGUGUCGUGUUGUGUCUCUAUGAUGUUCGCGCUGGUCGUAUGGUGUUUGUGUGGUGUCUCGUACCAUUGCAGAUGGUGAUGUAGUUCGCAAUCUUCAGCAUUGUUUAGGGUUGCGAUUUUCAUGGUUGACGCUUUAUAAAAGAAACGUGAAUGAUAUUACCGCUUCAAUAUGCAUCACGACGGGGAGAAGCGAUGCAUCGGUCCCAGCUUGUGUUGACCAGCAUGCCCCGGACUGAAUGCAUAUAGAUGUUUGGCAGCUGUGUGGCUAUAGUGAUGGUUAUAACCGUCGUGUAGCAGACCUCGACGCUUUUUACUACAUAAUCGGUAAAAAAAAACACACAGUCGUCAAUAACACUGUGGUAAUUGAAAUACAUUUUUUUUAUAAUAGGCGACGUUUCGGGCAAUGGUCCUCCAUAGCACUUAAAACAAUAAUUUAUGGAAAUUAAAUGUACAUAUGUAUGUUGAACUUCUUUUGCAUCGUACAUAGCCAACCCUGAUAAUCGGAGGUGCGGGGGAAGGAAAACACACGAAACACAAAAAGGAGUUCGAAAAAAAACGAGUUUUCAAUCGAGAUUUAAAAGUACAUAGCUCUGGUGGCUUCCUAAUAUCGGAGAGAAGAACAUUCCAGACGGCCGCAGAAGCGCAUCAGAACGCGUGUGGUGCAGCGACCGUCUAUGAUACUAUGGACAAGGACUAUUGCCCGAAACGCCGAAUGAGAGUAUUUGUUGUGCAGUACUUCGAACGCAGCAGCAAAAUCACCAAAUAAUGUGUAAAACAAAGUCGGAUUGGUAUAACGGAUGCUUCUCAUAUUUGAUGUAUUUACAUCCCCGUGUGCAAGAGGGUGUCAAUUGUAUACGUGCAUAGCAACCCACGUAUCGUUCAUUCUUCAUUAUUUCGUUUACCUUGAAAGUUAAAUCAAGUUAAUGCAAUAUACAUAUAAUGGAGGGGGCGGGGGGGGGGAGUGGAGGAGCGGUGGUGCAGUGGUUAGCGCACCACGCCCGUUCGAUUCCCGGCCACGGCUAGCAGGGGUGGCGAUUGACAUCUGAACCGGUCCCGGGGCCUUUUCUUCCGACCCGAGUCUGGGCUGAGGGACCUCCCCUCGCCUCCCACUCACCCCAUAACCGGCACGAUGCGUGGGGGAGAGCCUUCAUCACUGCCCCCCGCUGGAUAGACACGGAGUUGUGCGCGUUUACAUAUAUACGUAUGGACAUCGACUUUCUCUUGUAGACAAUAGCGUUUAACGUACGUGGACAUAUCAUGGCAUUGACGUAUACAGCACGAGCGAUGUUUACGUGGAGACAUGUACGUAUGUAUUUUUUUCCCCAUGAAAUAGUCUGUAAGGCGUUAUUUUGUAAGCCUGCAGCGAAUGUUAAGGCAAUUGCAGUCGGCCGUGAUUGUGGAGGCACAGGCUGAAUAAAUCGUUGCCUAAAUGAAUACACACACACGUAUCAUUUAGCAAACAAAGUAUACAUGUGAUGUGUUUAUUGAAAUAUCAAAAGGGGUUAAAUAUAUUGUGCCGUUUUUGUGCCGUCAGUUAAUGAAUCCCUCAUUUAAGCAGCGGCGCUUAUUGAUGUAUUUAUUGGGCGAGUAAUGUUUUUGUUUUAUAAUGAUGGUGAUGAUAAUAAUAUAUACUCCUUCAGUAUUAUUUAACAUAGCCCUGCACAACCCUCCAUUCUAUUCGUGAAGGAGGCGUAUGACAGACAUUCGAUGAGUGGCCCACAGGUCUCAACUAUUGCCAGCUCAUCUUGGGGAAAAGCUGACACGAGAUUUAAACGUAGCGAGUGAAUUUGAGUACGAGUAGCACAAGCUCGCAACGCCUUCGUUCAGAGAAAACAUAUAUAACAGCAGAAAUUUCGGGAAACCGGCCCCCUUCAUAUAAAGCAGCGAUGUAUACAAAUAUAUCUAUAUAAAUAUACAUGUAUAUGUAUAUGAAGAAGGGGCGUUGACCGAAACGUUGCCUAUGUACACGUGUUUUUCCUCUUUGGCGGGGGAGUGUUAUUCACGCACGCGUUACGGUGUUUGUUAUUUGUGAUGUGCAGCGAUAGCAGACACGGAUUCGCAGCAAAGCGACCCAUGCUUCGGUUUGUAGCGUGGAAAAAUUGGCUUCUUCU